GAUGAACGCUGGCGGCGUGCCUAAUACAUGCAAGUCGAGCGAACAGGCGAGGAGCUUGCUCCUCUGACGUUAGCGGCGGACGGGUGAGUAACACGUGGAUAACCUACCUAUAAGACUGGGAUAACUUCGGGAAACCGGAGCUAAUACCGGAUAAUAUAUUGAACCGCAUGGUUCAAUAGUGAAAGACGGUUUUGCUGUCACUUAUAGAUGGAUCCGCGCCGCAUUAGCUAGUUGGUAAGGUAACGGCUUACCAAGGCAACGAUGCGUAGCCGACCUGAGAGGGUGAGCGGCCACACUGGAACUGAGACCCGGUCCAGACUCCUACGGGAGGCAGCAGUAGGGAAUCUUCCGCAAUGGGCGAAAGCCUGACGGAGCAACGCCGCGUGAGUGAUGAAGGUCUUCGGAUCGUAAAACUCUGUUAUUAGGGAAGAACAAAUGUGUAAGUAACUAUGCACGUCUUGACGGUACCUAAUCAGAAGGCCACGGCUAACUACGUG
This 497-nucleotide ribosomal RNA is filed under the name uncultured bacterium. RNAcentral's name for it is "partial 16S ribosomal RNA". It matches the Rfam family "Bacterial small subunit ribosomal RNA", at positions 28 to 507 of the family's 1533-position model. The record is from RNAcentral.